RNAcentral lists this long non-coding RNA (9199 nucleotides) under Sus scrofa (pig). Its description in RNAcentral is "lncRNA (ENSSSCG00045020276.1)". Lineage: Eukaryota; Metazoa; Chordata; Mammalia; Artiodactyla; Suidae. The record is from RNAcentral.
CUUUUUUUUUUUUUUUUUUUUGGUCUUUUCAGGGCCACACACACAGCAUGUGGAAGUUUCCAGGCUAGGGGUUGAAUCGGAGCUGCAGCUGCUGACCUACACCACAGCUCACAGUAAUGCUGGAUCCUAAACCCACUAAGCAAGGCCAGGGAUCGAACCUGCAUCCUCAUGGAUACUAGUCAGGUUCCUUACCACUGAGCCACAAUGGGAACUCCUGCACCUCUAAAGUUUUAUUUCAACAGUGCCAGACUGGAGCUUAACAUUCUAGUAGAAGAGCUAGACAGUUAUCAAAGUAAAUAAAAACUAAAUUAGUGAUGAAUGCUAAAGUGGAUGCUCAAUCUGGGAAGUAUUAAGAGAGCAACCAGGGAAGGUUGAUGUGGUUAUAAUAAACAGUACUUGGUUUUUACUGCUGAAAUCCUUGGGGUUUCCUAAGGCACAAGAGCAAUGCAGGUGUCUUUUGUUACGUUUAAUGAAGUGACGUUUGGACUACACCUGAGGAAGGGGCUGGUUGCUAGGAGAACCCCCCNACCCCCCCCCCCCCCCCCCCCGUGAUUAGAGGGUUAGAACUUCCGGUUUCACUCUCCUGACUUCUGGGGAGAGGAAAGUGGGCAGAGGUUAAAUCAGCUGCAUAUGACCAGAGAUUUGGAAGCUCCAUGACCUUUGCCUACACCUUGCCCUAUGCACCUUUUCCCUCUGGCUGUUCCUCUGUUACACCCUCCCAUAAUAAACUGGUCACAUAGCAAGCAAAAAUAUUUUUCUGAUUUUUAAAAAAAAUUUUUUUUGAAAUUUCUUCUUUGAAUCAUGGGUUUUUUUUUUUUUUGGUCUUUUUGCCUUUUAGGGCUGCACUAGCAGCAUAUGGAGGUUCCCAGGCUAGGGGUCGAAUUGGAGCUGCAGCUGCCGGCCUACGCCAGAGCCACAGCAACUGUGGGAUCCGAGCCGCGUCUGUAACCUACACCACAGCUCACAGCAACGCCGGAUCCUUAACCCACUGAGCAAGGCCAGGGAUCGAACCCACAACCUCAUGGUUCCUAGUCGGAUUCGUUAACCAUCGAGCCAUGCCAGGAACUCCCCUCCAUGCUUUUGUUGCUGAACCUCGGCCCCCGUCUGCUGGUGCCCACAUGAAACACAGAGACGGGAGUUUUGGGUGAAGGAAAAAAAGAUGGCUUUAUUGCUUUGCCAGGCAAAGGAGGCCACAGCCGGCUAAUGCCCUAAAGACUGUGCCCCCCUUGGAAGGAAUUAGGAGAUGGUUUUAUAGGUUGGGGAGUGGAAAAUAGGGCCAUAGAUAAGGAUCAGGAUAGAGGUGAACUUGCUUUGUCUUUCAAAGUUGGUGUUUAGUGACCCCCAGGACUGAUUCUGGUGGUCCUCUUUCCCAGAAUGAAAACUGCUCCAUCAAGUAGUUCUUCCAUCUGUUGGGGGUUUUAGUUCUGCAGAAAGGCUCAAAGAUACCGUUAGGUAUAUUCCUUGAGGAGGAACCAGGACCCUGCCCCAAGGCUGCACUAUAGUCUCUCCACCGCUCCUCUCCCUUCCCUGAUUAGCUACUGACCUUUGGAACUCAGGAAGGUCAUGGAGGCUGAGGCUUAUUCCCUAAAAACGAGAAAUGGAGGACACAGAAAGGCUUGUGUGCCCAGGAGCCCCACAGGGCGCUAUUCCAUUAGACUUUGCGUUCCUGAUGUACAGUCAGGCUAAAUAAACUGAAAUGUUGAAAGUUUGGAGUACAGAAAGAUUUAUUGUAGGGCCAAGCAAGGAGAAUGGAUGGCUUGUGCCCCCACACCCGGAACUCCCCAGUGGUUCAAAAAACCUUUCCCAAAAGGGAAAGGUUUUAUAUGCAGAAUCGGGGGUGAGGGCUGCAGGGUGUGUGACUCUCUUUUGAUUGGUGGGUGGUAAGUUAACAAGGAGAUGUUUUCAGGAAUCUUAACCACCUGCUGGGUCUCUGUGCUUGUGUUGUAGUCAGUUUGUAGUUAUUGUCCUCCACCUGGGUCAAGGUCUUAUUUUCUGUGUGACAGCCGAAAAUUUGUAUCAGAUUGUUAUGUAUAUCCCUUGAGAAGGAGCUAGGACUGAAUAUUGCUUAAGCUAUCUUUUUUUUUUUUUCAGUUUUUUUAAAUUAUAGUUGAUUUGAAAUGUUCUGUCAAUUUCUGCUGUAUAAAAUCAUACACACACACACGCAUUGUUUUUCUCACAUUAUCCUCCGUCAUGUUCCAUCUCAAGUGACUAGAUACAGUUUCCUGUGCUAUGCAGCAGCAUCUCAUUGCUGUUCUUACUUCUUUUACUUAACUGCUUUUCCUUUGUUUCUGCAUUCCCUUACUUCCCCAAAUAGCAACUGCUAGAGGCAGCUCUUUGGACUCAGAGAUGGCCUAGGAGGGUUCAUAAAGUCUUUUUCUACAAACAGCGGGGGGACGUAGAGGGCUUUUGUACCUGGGAGGUUCCUAGGCUAGGGGUUUAAUUGGAGCUGCAGCUGCUGGCCUACACCAGAGCCACAGCAACGCAGGAUCCGAGCUGCAUCUGUGACCUACACCACAGGUCAUGGCAAUGCUGGAUCCUUAACCCACUGAAUGAUGCCAGGGAUCAAACCUGAGUCUUCUUGGUUCCUAGUGGGAUUUGUUUCCGCUGUGCCACAACGGGAACUCCUGCCUGGUUUCUUAAGCCCACCUUAAUUAUUUUUUGACUCCUUAACUACCCGCUGGAGGUAACACAUCUGAAUAUGGGUUGCUAUAAUAACAGGGGCUUAAGUAGUUUGUUCAGGGACUUGAAGUCAGCUUCUGUCCAGUUCAAGCCAGCUAAUGUUACUGAACUGAACUCACCAAUCACCUGACAUGCAGUAAAGUCAGUCUACUGUCCCUGGGUUGUGCUGGAGGAAAGUAUAGCAGGCCCCGAACAAGGAGAGUAGGCAGCUCAUGCUCAAAAGACCCAAACUCAGAAGUUGCCUUGUGGUGAAGCAGAUGGAGAAUCUGGCAUUGUCACAGCUGUAGCGCUAUGGCACGGGUUUGAUCCGUGGCUCAGAAAUUUCCACACACCAUGGAUGUGUUGGGGAAAAAAAAAAGACCCAAACUCCCCAGUGGCUUUCAGGGAAAGUUUUUUGUUGUUUUUUUUUUCUUUUUAGGGCUGCACUUGCCGCAUAUGGAAGUUCCUGGACCAGAGGUGAAAUGGGAGCUGCAGCUGCGGGCCUACAUGACAGCCAUAGUAACAUGGGAUCAGAGCCAUGUCUGCAACCUAUGCUGGCAGCUCACAGCAAUGCCGGAUUCUUAACCCACUGAGUGAGGCCAGGGAUCAAACCCGCAUCCUCAUGGAUACUAGUCAGGUUCAUUACUGCUGAGCCACAAGGAGAACUCCAGGGAAAGGUGUUUAAAGACAGUGUUCAGAGUGAGGGUUGCAGGGUGUGGGAUCAGUUCAUAGAUAAUUUUCUUUUCUUUUUUUGGCUGUGGCAUGCAGUGGUUUGCAGAACAGGGAUUGAACCUGGGCCAAAGCAGUGAAAGUGCUAAGCCCUGACCAACAGACUACCAGGGAGCUCCUCACGGACGGUUUUCUGAUUGGUAGAGGGUAGUGGUAUGUCAGGAAUCUCUCAUCAGUUUUCCAGCUCCAACUAGUCAGUGGUCUACAGGUUUAGGGUCAGCAGUUUCCCCCUUGUAGGAGUCUGAUUUCUGUAAGAAACACUUAAGAAUAUGCGUCAGACCUUGUUAUCUGUUUUUCUCGAGGAGAACUGGGGCCUUAUGACCCUGAUGCUUGAGUUUUACUUAUUGCUUAAGUUGUUGUCUCCUUCCUUGCUCAGCUGCCUUUUCUUAGUUCCUGCUUUUGCCUCUUCUUAAAUGAUUAAUUGCUUGAGUCUGUUUUCUGAAACUUGAGAGGCCAGGGAAACUAAAAGUUUGAAUUUUUUUUUUUUUUUUUAAGCUGGGAGGUGAGAACACAUGAAGGGGCCUGCGAGUGGGGUGGCCCUACAGGGCUCUGCUCAUUUUCGAUGAGACUGGUUGGGACCACCGAGCCUAAAACUGGGCGUGGGCAGGUGUUGGAUGAAUGACUUUUUGAUAUCAGAGGACUGCAAACUCCACCCUCAGAUCAUGCUAAUGCCUCCACUUUUGAACACGUGUCUCAGGAAGAAACACGUGACUCAUAGGCCUUUUCGGGACACUGAUUACCUCACCUUUUCCCCCUGUGUCCCGUCACCCUUCCCCAUGGCUAAGGCCACCCUGCGUCUUUAUCCCAUAUACACCCAAACACCUCGCCUUUAAGGAGGCAGGUCUGAGGCGUGUUCUGCCGGCUCCUCACUUGGCUGCCUUGUGAGUAAAGUCUUUCUCUGCUGCAAACCUCAGCAUCUUAGCAGUUGGCUGGCUGCACAUGGGGAAAUUGAACCUGGCUUGGUAGCAAUAGGGUUAGUUGUCAGUCAAAUUGUAGAGCACCCAGCUGGUGUCUGGGGAGUUGCUUGGUGGUGGGGAACACUGCACCCACUGGAAUUGGGUGCAGAACUUGAGAAGAUCUCCCCGAGAGGGUGUCAUUGAGCAAAGCCCACAGAGGGUGAGGGAGGGAGCUGUGGGAACAAGUGUGCCAGGCAGAGAGAACAGCAAGUGCAAAGGCCCUUCCCUGAGGCCAGAACAUGCAGGAUGCAUUCAGGGAACAUGAGGACAGGCCAGUUUAGCUGGAGCAGAGGGAGCCAUGUGACAAAUGAUGAGAGAGCUCAGCAGUAACAGGAGGCUGGAUGCGCGGGGCCUUCCUGGCAAUUAUAAGGACCCUUCUCUGACUUUUACACAAGUAAGAUUCUGACUAGGGCCCUGGAUUCUGUGGUUUGUGUGUUUGUUUGUUUUGCUUUUUUUUAGAGCUGCACCUGCGGCAUAUGGAAGUUUCCAGGCUAGGGGUCUCAUUGGAGCUGCAGCUGCCAACCUACACCACAGCCACAGCAACACCAGAUCCGAGCCACGUCUGUGACCUACACCACAGCUCACAGCAAUGCUGGAUCCUUACCCCACUGACUGAGGCCAGGGGAUCGAACCUGUAACCUCAUAGUUCCUAGUUGGAUUUGUUUCUGCUGCGCCACAAUGGGAACUCCAAUUCUGUGUUUUUAAUAAACUUCCCAAGAUAAAUCGACCCAUAAUAGUGUCUGGGGAUUCAGUGAGGAAGCUAGGGAAGCAAAAAGGAAGCCAUUCCUUUUUUAAAUUUUUUUCUUUUCUUUUUACAGGCUAAGGGCUGAAUCAGAGCUGCAGCUGCCAGCCUACAGCACAGCCACAGCAGUAUCGGAUCCUUAACCCACUGAGCAGACCAGGGAUCAAACCUGUGUCCUCCUGGAUACUAGUCAGGUUCAUAACCCGUUGAACCACACUGGAAACUCCAGGAAGCUCCUUUAGGCCACUUCAUAGAAGGGAGUCCUAGUAUUGCUGUCCUCUGUGAGGACUGUCAUGCAAACAGAAACACUCAAAAACACAACUCACCCUUGAAUUAAAGAUUUAUUUGGGUUAAAAAGUACCUUUUAAAAAACGCAGGCCCCUCUGGGCAGGGUUCAUGCAUGCUGUAUUCCUAACGCUUAGUUAGCUAAGAAUAGCACUGAGAAUCGGGUGAGAUUGAGAGAAGAGUCAGCUGUUGGACUUUAUGUGAGAUUUGCACAUUUCAGCAGGAAGAGUAGAGAGCGUGGUGCCAGGAACAGGAUAGGAGAGCAGGUUGUCUGGAAAGGGUCGGGGCACAUCAGCAUUGUAUUUCUUUGUCCGUGCCCCAGCUUUAUAGAGGUAUACGUAUGACAAAUACAAACUAUAUAUAUUUGUAUUUGUAAGGUGCACCAUGUGAUAUUUUGAUGUAUAUUGUAUAUAUUGUGAAAUGUUUACCGCAGUGAAGCUGAUUAACAUGGCCAUCACUGAAGUCCUUCUCAGAUAGGACUCGACCUCAGCCACCCCUCAGAUUGGGACUUGAACCCAAGAUCCCUGACUAAGGAGGGAACUCAAACCCCUGUCUUUUAAGUGAAACCACUCACCUGGUGGCUGGACUUACUGAAGCUCAGGUUCUCUAGUUUCAGUGUGGAAAGAAUUCAGCAUGAGGCAACGUGGCAGGCAGAGUAGGCUUAUUAGCAUCGGAUGCUUGUGAGAACCACAGGUUCCCCCCCCCGCCCCCCGAGAUCAAAGAGGGCUACAUUUUUACAAUCAAAGGAACAAUGGCGAGUGAGCAUUCUUGGGUAGAUAUUAAGACUUACCUCAUCAGUUCCUUCUUUAACCCUAUAUGGCCUAACCAGGACCAUCAUAGCUAUUAAAUCGCAUGUACGCCAAGUGUGGUACACUAAAAUAAGGUAAUUCACCUCAAGUUUCUCUGUAAGGUCCCCUACCAUGGAGUUUCUUUCCCCUUUCCCCUGUAUUCCUAUCUUGGCUACAUGCAGAAAUGCUGCUCUUCGAGGACCGCUAACUCCCUGACUUUGCAUAAGAAGAUGCAGACCCCACAUCUAUUGUCUUGUGCUUUAACUAUCGGGAUGUGUGGGCUUGGGUGUGCCUGGCACUCGAAUGCAUCUGAUCCUCCUUUAAGGUAGUGCAGAUUGUUGCUAGGUUACUGGAUUCUUUUCUUGAGUGGUCAUUAGCUUACAAAGGUCUCCCAAAUUCUUAAAAUUCCCUUUCUAUCUUUAAUCCCCUAUUGGGAUUUCUCAACUAUUUAAUUAUCCUGCUCUAUCCCUAUCAACCUCACAUGGUUACCAUUGUGUGUGUCUGAUGAGAACAUUUGAGACCCACUGUCUUAGCAGAUUUCAGGGAUAUAAUACAUUAUUGUUAAUGACAGUCUCACCAGGCUGUAUGUUAGGUCUUCACAUCCUGUAACUGAGUUUGGGCCCUUUGACCAACAUCUCCCCAUUUCCCUCAACCACCACCCUACUCUCUGUUUCUGUGAAUUUAACUUUUUGGGGUUUUUUUGGCCAUCCCCAUGGUAUGCAAAAGUUCCCCAGGCCAGGGAUCAAACCUGAGUCACAGCAGUGACAAUGAUGAAUCCUUAACCAGUAAGCUGCCAGGGAAUUCUGAAUUUAAUUUUUCUAGAUUCCAUAUCAAGUAGAUCGUUAGCAGUAUUUGCCUUUUCUGUGUCUGACUGAUUUCAUGGAACAUAUAGUCCUCUGGGUAGGGCGAGUUCGUGUUGAUGAGGGGCAGGGAUGCAGGAUGUGGGAUAGUGGAUGGGAGGUUGCACUUACAGAAUGGGACUGACCUGGAGAGAGCUUUAGUUCAGUGCUUUGAUCCUAGCCAGACAGACAUGACUUUGACCAGAUGAUCUCUGAACUGGCAAUUUGAUCCCCUGAAGGGGCCAUGUGACAGGAUGUGACGGCGCCUGUGUGUGUAGGUGGUUUCCUGAUGGCAUGUUACAAGAAAGCACCACGGGUGGUGUUUUGACUGCCCGGAGGGCUCGAGUGCUGUGAAUGUACCCAGGCAGUCCCUGGGCUUAUCACUUAACUGACUCUUAUCUCUGAGGUGAGCUGUGCCAGGGGGUCUGGCUUCUAACAGGACCCAGGGAUGGGUAUUUAAGGGAACCAAAAAUCUGUCAGUUUUGUAUUUACUUCUUUCAUUUAAGAUAGUGAUAAAUUUUUUGUUUUGGAACACUCCAUCCAUAGAUAAUAGCAUGCACUUUUAUGUUUUGCUUUAUCCUUUCAUUGAAGAUAUUUUUCUACACUCUUUUCAUAGAGAUGCAUAACAAUUCAAUUAAGAACAAUUUUUUGGCCAUACCUGGGGCAUGCGGAAGUUCCCAGGACAGGGAUUAAACCCACACCGUGACAGCAGCCUGAGUAACAGUAGUGACAACACUGGACCUUAACCUGCUGAGCCAUCAUGGAACUCCUAUAAUUCAAAAUUUUUUUCUUUUUUUGGCUGCUCCUGCAGCAUAUGGAAGUUCCUAGGCCAGGGAUCAAACCUGUGCAGUUGUGGCAUGUGCCGCAGAUGUGGCAGCACUGGAUCCUUAACCUGCUGCUCCACAAGAGAACUGCCUAAUUCAGUUUGUUUUUCUUUUUUAUGACCACACUUGCUGCAUAUGGAAGUUCCCAGACUAGGGGUCAAAUCAGAGCUGCAGCUGCUGGCCUACACCACAGCAACACCAGAUCCAAGCUGCAUCUGCAGCCUGUGCCACAGCUUGCAGCAACAUCAGAUCCUUACGCCAUUGAGCUAGGCUGGAGAUCGAACCCAAUCCUCACAGAUAGUAUGUCAGGUUCUUAACCAUCUGAGCCACAGUGGGAACUCACUGAUUCAGUUUUUUUUUUUAACAUAGUUUUCCCAAGUAAACUUAGAUUUUGUGUAAACCAUUCUUAUUUAAGUAGAUGUAUUCAUUUUGGUUUAUCAAAACUCCGUUCAUAGAGAUACAAAACAUCAUUCAGUGUUGCUUAUGGCAGUUUGUUUCAGCAGAUGCUUAUUUCUGAUCUGCCAGCAAUGCAUUCAUAGGGGAAAAAUGUUUCAUUAAGUUUUGUCUCUGAAUUUUUCGUUUUAAUAGGUGCAAUUGCUUGUAUUCUAGUAACACUCCAGAUACAGGCAUUUGUGUUCAUAAACACUUCAUUCAUAGGGAUAAAAACACAUCACUUCGUCUCAUUAGAUCCACUUGUUGUUAUACCAAUGUUAAGUGCACAGAGAUAAGUAACCUAUCAUUCAGUCUUUUAAGACCACUUUUCUUUGAGUAGAUGUAUUCCUCUCCAUUCUAUUUCAGAGAUUUUAUCCCAUGUUUUAUUCCAGAGAUUCAUAUGAUGUAUUGUGGGAGUUCCUGCGUGGCGCAGAGGAAACAAACCUGACUAGUAUCCAUGAAGACUUGGGGUGGAGGAUCCUUGGCCUCGCUCAGUGGGUUAAGGAUCUGGCAUUGCCGUGAGCUAUGGUGUAAGUUGAGCAUUCAGUUCAAAUCCCGAGUUGCUGUGGCUGUGGUGUAGGCCGGCAGCUAUAGCUCCAGUUAGACCCCCAGCCUGUGAACCUCCAUAUGCCAUGCGUGUGGCCGUAAAAAAGCAAAAAAAAAAAACCCCAAAAAUAUAGUGCGUAUUGUGUUUAGGUGUUUCCUUUCAGUAGACAUCUUUUUAAAAAUUUAUUUUAUUGAAGUAUAUCAGACACAACCUAGAAUAGAUAUACAAGGAGAUCCUGCUGAAUAGCAUUGAGAACUAUGUCUAGAUACUCAUGUCGCAACAGAAGAAAGGGUGGGGGAAAAAACUGUAACUGCAAUGUAUACAUCUAAGGAUGACCUGACCCCCUUGCUGUACAGUGGGAAAAUAAUAAAAAAAAAAAAAAAAAAGAAAAGAAAAAAA